GAUGAACGCUGGCGGCGUGCCUAAUACAUGCAAGUCGAGCGAACAGACGAGGAGCUUGCUCCUCUGACGUUAGCGGCGGACGGGUGAGUAACACGUGGAUAACCUACCUAUAAGACUGGGAUAACUUCGGGAAACCGGAGCUAAUACCGGAUAAUAUAUUGAACCGCAUGGUUCAAUAGUGAAAGACGGUUUUGCUGUCACCUAUAGAUGGAUCCGCGCCGCAUUAGCUAGUUGGUAAGGUAACGGCUUACCAAGGCAACGAUGCGUAGCCGACCUGAGAGGGUGAUCGGCCACACUGGAACUGAGACACGGUCCAGACUCCUACGGGAGGCAGCAGUAGGGAAUCUUCCGCAAAGGGCGAAAGCCUGACGGAGCAACGCCGCGUGAGUGAUGAAGGUCUUCGUAUCGUAAAACUCUGUUAUUAGGGAAGAACAAAUGUGUAAGUAACUAUGCACGUCUUGACGGUACCUAAUCAGAAAGCCACGGCUAACUACGUG
This 497-nucleotide ribosomal RNA is filed under the name uncultured bacterium. RNAcentral describes it as "partial 16S ribosomal RNA". It matches the Rfam family "Bacterial small subunit ribosomal RNA", at positions 28 to 507 of the family's 1533-position model. The record is from RNAcentral.